AAUGGAAAAUAGACCUUCUAUACACAAAAUUACCUGGCUAAAAAUUGUUGUAAGGCAUGCAAUGCACCAGAGUGUUAUUAAUUUCAUGUAAUAGUGCUGAUAUUAUUGUGAGUACGAAUUUGCUUUCAGUUUCUCAUCAUUUUUAUCACCUUCCUUGCCUGUGUAGGACUGGUUCUUUGUCUUUGUUUUGAUACAGUUUCUCUAUCUAUCAUUUCUCUUUUCCAUCUAAUAAGAAAUAAAUUCCUUAUUUUCACCGUACUGUAGAAGCAUCACUGAAAUGGCUUCUUUGUGGACAUUUUAACCAAAUUUCAUUUACUGAUCUAUAUGUAAUUGCUGUGUAACUUCUUUGUAUUAUCACUAAGAUACAAUUCUUUAUUUUGUUUAAAAUGUUCAAUCAUAAGAGCAUGGUUUACUGGAAGUAUUCCUGAUUCUUUGUCUUCCCUGAGUCAAUUAUCAACUAUGUCUCUGAACGAAAACCAUUUGAGUGGAGAGCUUCCUGAUUCCUUUCAAGGACUUACAGCUUUGGUCAAUUUGUAUG
Ipomoea nil (Japanese morning glory) is the source of this 538-nucleotide RNA transcript. It is a transcript of the gene named probable serine/threonine protein kinase IRE4, with no coding region annotated. The record is from RefSeq and is a predicted model, not a curated record. NCBI's taxonomy places the organism in Eukaryota, Viridiplantae, Streptophyta, Magnoliopsida, Solanales, Convolvulaceae. The transcript has 2 exons.